UCCCUGGUGGUUCAGUGGUUAGGACUCUGUGCUGACACCACUGAGGUCCCAGGUUCAAUCCCUGGUUGGGGAA
Non-coding RNA from Cervus elaphus (red deer), 73 nucleotides. The record is from the annotation of a RefSeq genome assembly. NCBI's taxonomy places the organism in Eukaryota, Metazoa, Chordata, Mammalia, Artiodactyla, Cervidae.